CUACGGGAGGCAGCAGUGGGGAAUCUUGCGCAAUGGGCGAAAGCCUGACGCAGCAACGCCGCGUGGGGGAUGAAGGCUCUCGGGUCGUAAACCCCUUUCAGGAGGGACGAAAAUGACGGUACCUCCAGAAGAAGCCCCGGCCAACUACGUGCCAGCAGCCGCGGUAACACGUAGGGGGCGAGCGUUGUCCGGAUUUAUUGGGCGUAAAGAGCUCGUAGGCGGCUUGGUAAGUCGGGUGUGAAAUUUCGAGGCUCAACCUCGAACUGCCAUCCGAUACUGCUAUGGCUAGAAUCCGGUAGAGGAGUGUGGAAUUCCUGGUGUAGCGGUGAAAUGCGCAGAUAUCAGGAAGAACACCGAUGGCGAAGGCAGGUUUCUGGGCCAUAACUGACGCUGAGGAGCGAAAGCGUGGGGAGCAAACAGGAUUAGAUACCCCGGUAGUCC
This 441-nucleotide ribosomal RNA is filed under the name uncultured bacterium. RNAcentral describes it as "bacterial SSU rRNA". It matches the Rfam family "Bacterial small subunit ribosomal RNA", at positions 339 to 796 of the family's 1533-position model. The record is from RNAcentral.